ACCAAUUUAGUAAAAUUUUAUUAUAUUGCUUUGAUAUGGCAAAGUUCUUUUUGAUUUGGUA
RNAcentral lists this transfer RNA (61 nucleotides) under Strongyloides stercoralis. Its description in RNAcentral is "transfer RNA-Ile". The record is from RNAcentral. Lineage: Eukaryota; Metazoa; Nematoda; Chromadorea; Rhabditida; Strongyloididae.